UAGGGAAUCUUCGGCAAUGGGGGGAACCCUGACCGAGCAACGCCGCGUGAGUGAAGAAGGUUUUCGGAUCGUAAAGCUCUGUUGUUAAGGAAGAACGAGUGUGAGAAUGGAAAGUUCAUGCUGUGACGGUACUUAACCAGAAAGGGACGGCUAACUACGUGCCAGCAGCCGCGGUAAUACGUAGGUCCCGAGCGUUGUCCGGAUUUAUUGGGCGUAAAGCGAGCGCAGGCGGUCAAUUAAGUCUGAUGUGAAAGCCCCCGGCUCAACCGGGGAAGGUCAUUGGAAACUGGUUGACUUGAGUGCAGAAGAGGAGAGUGGAAUUCCAUGUGUAGCGGUGAAAUGCGUAGAUAUAUGGAGGAACACCAGUGGCGAAGGCGACUCUCUGGUCUGUAACUGACGCUGAGGCUCGAAAGCGUGGGUAGCAAACAGG
Molecule: ribosomal RNA, 430 nt
Filed under: Bacteroidota bacterium
Lineage: Bacteria; Pseudomonadati; Bacteroidota
Description: Bacteroidetes bacterium partial 16S ribosomal RNA
Rfam family: Bacterial small subunit ribosomal RNA
Source: RNAcentral